GUAGCCAUUGUAAACUCUAAUACU
This 24-nucleotide non-coding RNA is filed under the name Arabidopsis thaliana (thale cress). Lineage: Eukaryota; Viridiplantae; Streptophyta; Magnoliopsida; Brassicales; Brassicaceae. The record is from RNAcentral.